This 301-nucleotide ribosomal RNA is filed under the name uncultured bacterium. RNAcentral describes it as "partial 16S ribosomal RNA". It matches the Rfam family "Bacterial small subunit ribosomal RNA", at positions 509 to 807 of the family's 1533-position model. The record is from RNAcentral.
CAGCAGCCGCGGGAAUACGAAGGGGGCUAGCGUUGUUCGGAUUUACUGGGCGUAAAGGGCGCGUAGGCGGACUGAUAAGUCAGGGGUGAAAUCCCAAGGCUCAACCGGGGAGGGUCAUUGGAAACUGGGAAACUUGAGUGCAGAAGAGGAGAGUGGAAUUCCACGUGUAGCGGUGAAAUGCGUAGAGAUGUGGAGGAACACCAGUGGCGAAGGCGACUCUCUGGUCUGUAACUGACGCUGAGGAGCGAAAGCGUGGGGAGCGAACAGGAUUAGAUACCCCCGUAGUCCCUGUCUCUUAUAC